AUCCAGACUCCUACGGGAGGCAGCAGUGGGGAAUAUUGGGCAAUGGGCGCAAGCCUGACCCAGCAACGCCGCGUGAAGGAAGAAGGCCCUCGGGUUGUAAACUUCUUUUGUCAGGGACGAAGCAAGUGACGGUACCUGACGAAUAAGCCACGGCUAACUACGUGCCAGCAGCCGCGGUAAUACGUAGGGGGCAAGCGUUAUCCGGAUUUACUGGGUGUAAAGGGGGCGCAGACGGCAGCGCAAGCCAGGAGUGAAAGCCCGGGGCCCAACCGUGGGACUGCUCUGGAAACUGUGCGGCUUGAGUGCGGGAGGGGCAGGCGGAAUUCCGUGUGUAGCGGUGAAAUGCGUAGAUAUACGGAGGAACACCAGUGGCGAAGGCGGAUUGCUGGACAGUAACUGACGCUGAGGCGCGAAAGCGUGGGGAGCAAACAGGAUUAGAUACCCCCGUA
RNAcentral lists this ribosomal RNA (449 nucleotides) under uncultured bacterium. Its description in RNAcentral is "partial 16S ribosomal RNA". It matches the Rfam family "Bacterial small subunit ribosomal RNA", at positions 329 to 792 of the family's 1533-position model. The record is from RNAcentral.